UACGGAGGGGGCUAGCGUUGUUCGGAAUUACUGGGCGUAAAGCGCGCGUAGGCGGACCUGCAAGUCGGGGGUGAAAUCCCGGGGCUCAACCCCGGAACUGCCUUUGAUACUGGUAGUCUCGAGUCCGGAAGAGGUGAGUGGAAUUCCGAGUGUAGAGGUGAAAUUCGUAGAUAUUCGGAGGAACACCAGUGGCGAAGGCGGCUCACUGGUCCGGUACUGACGCUGAGGUGCGAAAGCGUGGGGAGCAAACAGG
Molecule: ribosomal RNA, 253 nt
Filed under: uncultured bacterium
Lineage: Bacteria
Description: partial 16S ribosomal RNA
Rfam family: Bacterial small subunit ribosomal RNA
Source: RNAcentral